CUGCAGCCCGGCCUGAGUGGAAAUCCUUUUUUGCUUGUACUUACAUUCUAUUUGAACUGGAAACUUUCUGCAAAAAAGAUUGGGAACGGAGGACGGAAAAGCU
RNAcentral lists this small RNA (103 nucleotides) under Epilithonimonas lactis. Its description in RNAcentral is "Chryseobacterium halperniae Flavo-1 RNA". Lineage: Bacteria; Pseudomonadati; Bacteroidota; Flavobacteriia; Flavobacteriales; Weeksellaceae. The record is from RNAcentral.